This 430-nucleotide small RNA is filed under the name Pongo abelii (Sumatran orangutan). RNAcentral describes it as "processed transcript". The record is from RNAcentral. Lineage: Eukaryota; Metazoa; Chordata; Mammalia; Primates; Hominidae.
CGGCUCCUUGGGACAAGAACCAGGCUGGCCUGCGGGGCUGGGCGCGGUGGCUCACGCCUGUAAUCCCAGCACUUUGGGAGGCCGAGGUGGGCGAAUCACGAGGAGAAGGUCAUCCCUUCGGUGGUCAUAGAGCCUGCUUCCAACCAUGAAGGGGAAGGAGAAAACGAAAUAACUAUAGGUGCAGAGCCCAAGGAGACCACCGAGGAUGCGGCUCCUCCAGGCCCCACCAGCGAGACGCCGGAGCUGGCUACGGAGCAGAAGCCUAUCCAGGACCCUCAGCCCACGCCUUCUGCACCAGCCAUGGGAGCUGCUGACCAGCUAGCAUCUGCAAGGGAGGCCUCUCAGGAAUUGCCUCCUGGCUUUCUCUACAAGGUGGAAACACUGCAUGAUUUUGAGGCAGCAAAUUCCGAUGAACUUACCUUACAAAGGG